Molecule: long non-coding RNA, 2157 nt
Organism: Cebus imitator (Panamanian white-faced capuchin)
Lineage: Eukaryota; Metazoa; Chordata; Mammalia; Primates; Cebidae
Exons: 3
Source: RefSeq, a predicted model, not a curated record
CUGGCUCCUCAGUGAUAUGAGUCAAUCCAUCAGACAGAAUGAUGGCAGUCACCCAGACUUCACAGCCACCACCACCAUGCUGGCAAAUGUCACAUUUGGAAUUCAUUUGCAUAGCUGGGUAGCACUCCCUGUGGAGUUACAUUGAACAAUUUUGCAGCUGUGACAGCUUGAAAUAGAAAAGCUAAUGCAACUAUCUGUCGACUUCCUCUGUGUCUUGUUUUCCUAAAAUCUAGCUGGGAAUUCUUGUUACAGAAAGGGGGAGAAUCAUGUAAAAAUGGAAGGGAAACUGAUGCAAAGCUUUCAGGAACCAAGCACGUCUUGGUGGCAUUCAGAAGAGGCAUACAGGGACAUAGAAGCACGGUUUCCCACGGACUGAGAUGAAGCUUCUCUUCCUAACGUCCUACCACAGAAAGCAGAUAGCCAAAAGAUAGUUUUGACUGAAUGGAGGAAGAUGAGGAGUGAAGACCCCAAUUUCUUUCCCCUCAUAAUGGAGUCAAAAGGGGACUCUGUUAUGAAGGAGUGUUGGUGAGAGAAUGUGGAUCCUUACAGAAAAUUGCAGCUGUAUGAGAGAUGGAAGAUUUAAUCCAAGCUGUGCCAAGGCUCACCAACCUAGACAGGUGAGAACUGGGCCAUCAAUCCAAACAAGGGUAAACAAUAAAUGCACCUGGGGGAAAGGCCAACCAUGAUGAUUGUGAAAGACUGGGAAACAUGACAAAUUACUAUGAAGGAAUUUCUGAGCUUAGGAAAAUACAAUUUCUGGGGGUUUGGAUAUGGUGCAUUGUGAGCUGUCAAAGGAUUCCAAAGUUCAGGCAUUGAGCUGCUUUAUCUUUUAAUAUUUCAAAUUCAAUGACACUUUUGAGUUUAUAUUUGGUUUAACAAAAAAAAUCAUUUAAGCACAGCAUAUAUAGCUCCAAAUCCAUGUGUAUGCUCCCCGACUUAAGGAUGAAAGAAACAUCUAGUCAAGGGAAUAUGUGCCUUGAUUUAUUUCUCUAGCAGUAAUGAUGAAUUGCACUAUGUCUUCUGCACUCCCAUGACAUGUCACUUCCAUAACCCUUGGUGUUUAACUACAAGACAGAAAGGUUACAAGUGCAGGUGAUUGCUGUGCACAAGGGUUUUUCCUAACUGAGAAACUAACUGGCCCAUAUAGGGAUUAAAACCACAAGCUUGGCCCUCAUAAUCACCACUCUAACGUCCAGAGCUAACUGACCCAGACAAUAAAGGCUGCAGGAGACACCCACUGAGCUAUUAGGUUGAUAAAUGGGAAGGACUUCAGAGUACAGCAUCUUAUGAAAAAUAAUAUAAUAAUUUAAGUAGUUGUCCAUCCCAGUGGUACCAAUUUAUAGCCAAGGCUAACUCAAUAGUUUCUUCACACCCAGAGGCGAAGAACUGCUGAGCUGCAUCAUUCACAGAGAGACAUAAAAUAAACACAUCUAAUAUAUAACAAGAAUGCCAUAAGUCCAAAACAAAAGCAGGAUCGCAUGCAGAAAUUUCAACUAACCUUUUACCUCUACCAUUUAAAGUAAAAGAGGAAGAACAAAGCUGCUGGAAUGCUCUCCUAAAUUAUGACUUUUUAAAAUGACUUAAUCAGUAUAUAAAUUAAUAUCUUUAAGUAGAUGAAAUUUAACAUGGUCAUAAACAAAUAUUAAAUGUACUAUAUUUUUUCAUACAUUAAUAAUGAUGAAUAACACUGUUAAAUAGCUGUCAACUCACAUAAAACAUAUUCAAAGUGUGGUGACAUCAAUUGUUAAAACAAGAAGAAAACAUCCUGAGUAAUACAUAUUGUGUCACUUAGGUUUGAGCCACAAUAAAGACCUUUGAUAUAGAGUAUUUAUGAAAAACUAUAUGAACUUUUUUAUUUGAGAGGAAAAUUAAUAAAGAAUGUAUUUUGUUAUCAUUUCUUGGAUUUUGUUUUGCCAUGUUGAUUUUAGGAGAUUGAUCAUUUCUUAAUAAAUGUUGUGAAAUUUUGGAGAGUGUCACCUGGUGAAUUGAGAGCCCUGGUUUCAUGACUAACUAGCAAGAUUUUUCAAACAUUUAUGUAACUGAGAAAGAAAAAAAGAAUGUAAAAAAAUCAAGGCAUGUUCGCCAUUUUCCUAGAAAUAAAUCGGUUUUCUUUAAUAAUUCUGUCAUAAAUAUUACCUAAGUUAUGUGUACUAACUA